GAGGGCACGUUGAAGCAAGUUGACAACAGCAAAUAUAUUUGUUUAUGUCCGCAGUUUGCUUAUUGCGUCCCCCCAAAGUCGGCAAAACCUGUCGGCGGUUGGUAGCAGUGACAAUGUCGGGUGGCAAAUCCCAUAUCCAUGACUGAAAAUACUUGUUUAACGUAAAUUAAUUAAAUAACUUAUGUUAAGAUUUUUAUUAAGAAAAUUGGGUAGCUUCAAUAUUAAAAAUCAAUUGAAUUACUUGUACAAGUACUCGCACAACCAAUCAGCUGCUGUUUCAUACGUAAUUGUAUGAUACUUAAAGUUGCUAAGAUAUUUUUGAGAAUAAAAGGUAACUCAUCCGACAUGUUCACAUCUAUCGCAUCCAUUUGAUCAUAUUAUCUAACACAAACUUGUAUCAUCGUAUGAAGCAAAAGUAUUAUGAACUUACAUAUUUUAUUUAAAUAAAUAAUUAUAUUUCAAUUGUUUUAUUUCAGAUCAAACUAGUGCUUCAAAUGUUGUUCACAAUUGAUCUCUGUUGGAAAUGUUUCCUUAUCUUACACAUUGUUAUAAAGCAUACACAACAGACAUACUCGUGUGUUUACCAUUGUAAUUGGCUUGUGUUGUGUCGUCUCUGUCAAAUCAUACACACGCCAUUCGUCUUUGUCUUUGUCCUUUGUCUUCAUAUAUUGUCUAACGUGACGUCAGUGUAGUGUAAAAACGUUUGUCCCGUGUUAGUGAGAGUGUGUGACGUUGAGAGAAGGCAUUUGGCUAUAUUGGGUGGAGUUGGGUUUGGGCUUGUUUUGUUUUCUAAGAUUAGGAGGACAGAUCAAUGGAUGGCGAGGAAUACCACGAAAAACAAGGCCGUGCUAAUACCACGCAGGAGGCCGAACAACUUCAAGGGAAUUCACCCAAUCAAAAGUCUGUCAUUAAGAGGCCGAGGAGCUAACUGAAGAACUUGAACGAGACACGUCUCAUGAAUUGAAGAGGACGUCGUUCUCCACAGGGACUAGUCGGAUCCACAACCUCAGUGUUAUAAGAGACAGGACCCACCUUAAGGUGGGAACCCGGCCAUUAUCGAAUUAAUUCCAAGUUUACCAACUGAGAUGACGUUGAAUCAGGUCAAGAUGGAAUAACUCCCCUUCGAAAGCACCAACAGCGUUUAGACGUCAUUUAUUUCGACAUCAAGGGAUACAUGCGACCAAUUGUGUUUUCAUACAAGGCAUAUCGUUGCCAUUCUCUAACAUGAGAAUAUUUAUUUGACAUUGAUCAGAAGAAUUUUACAUUUAGAAUCACAACUCAUAUCAACAAAUAAGACCUCCAUGUACUCCACAGUGAAUCAUUGCGAAUCAAUUCCGGUCCUUUAUUGGUAGAUUCUGAUACGCGUCAAGCAUCUACCAAAGGCACAGAACUAUCAACAGUUUUAAGUGAAAUGUUAUUCUAAUUUCUCUAUAUCAAACGAUCUCUUACAAUAACUGUCUCUGUGGAAUAACAUUGUAAA
Long non-coding RNA from Pecten maximus, 1480 nucleotides. RefSeq lists it as uncharacterized. The record is from RefSeq and is a predicted model, not a curated record. NCBI's taxonomy places the organism in Eukaryota, Metazoa, Mollusca, Bivalvia, Pectinida, Pectinidae. The transcript is spliced from 3 exons.